GAUUAUAUGAACACAUUCUUAUAAACAUUAGAGAGACCGAUCUGCUCUGCACGGACUCUCUUCUUUUGAAAGAUGAUGGACCUUUCCAUCAAUGACCCACCAAGAAUGGAGAAGGACAGAGACCACUUGGCUGCAAGGAUAUUAGACCUCACCCUGGAGAUCAUCUCCUUGAUAACUGGAGAGGAUUACACAGUAGAGAAGAAGUCGUCUGGUGAGUGUGUGACACCCCGUGUGUCAGG
This is a long non-coding RNA of Bufo bufo (common toad), 239 nucleotides long. RefSeq lists it as uncharacterized. NCBI's taxonomy places the organism in Eukaryota, Metazoa, Chordata, Amphibia, Anura, Bufonidae. The record is from RefSeq and is a predicted model, not a curated record. The transcript has 3 exons.